RNAcentral lists this unclassified non-coding RNA (3913 nucleotides) under Hevea brasiliensis (rubber tree). The record is from RNAcentral. Lineage: Eukaryota; Viridiplantae; Streptophyta; Magnoliopsida; Malpighiales; Euphorbiaceae.
GGAUUUAUGUGUACAGUUUAGGCCUACCAUAAUUAUUCUUCUUGAAACUAAAACUAAUGAAAAAAAGAAUAGAUUAUGUUCAUCGUGUUAUUGGGUUUGAGGGUAGUUUUUCGGUGGACAGUGUGAGGCAGAGUGGUGUUGUUGCUUUGUUGUAGAAAGAGAAGUCGAUGGUUCAAUUGCUGAGCUAUUCAAAAUUUCACAUUGAUGUGUCGGUUUCAUUAAACUCAUUUCCUGUUUGGAGGUUAACUGGGUAUUAUGAGCAGCCAGAUCGUAAUCUCCGAAAGGAGUCUUGGGAGCUAUUAUGUAUGCUAAGUCAGAAAUCCUCUUUACGGGUAGAGGGACUGCUAAUUGGGUUGAGGAGCGACUGGAUAGGGAUAGGGCCCUUGUGACAUCCUCUUGGCUUUCUCAUUUCAAAUGUGCAAAGUUAGUUAAUGUGGAAUUUACUUCAUCUGAUCAUUUUCCUAUUUUUCUUUCAUUGCAUCCAACUACUAUGCCAUGGGGGAAAGCUAGAUUUCAAUUCGAAAAUUUCUGGCUACAAGAUCCUGCUUGUAGAGUAGUUGUGGAAAGGAGUUGGGCCUAUCCCAAUCAGCGUUCUGUAAUGGAUAAAAUAUCAGAUUGUGGACGGGAUCUCUCUUUAUGGGGGGGUGGUCAUAUGAAACACCUCAGAUCACAGAUCGCAGGUUGUAAGCGUCGUCUAAAGUUGCUUCGCCCAAGACAUGAUUCUUUCUCUAUUUCUCAAUAUGAUACAGUUAAGAAGGAGUUAGAUGGCUUAUUUCAAAAGAUGGAUGUCUACUGGAAGCAAUGUGCAAAAGAGUUUUGGUUACGAGAGGGAGACACUAAUUCCAAAUUCUUCCACGCUCAAGCCUCUUGCAAAAGAAAGAAAAAUUCUAUAGACUGCUUGUGGGAUGAUGAAGGGAAUCGUCGAGAUUGGGGGUUAGGUUUGGAGGAGCUGAUGUUGGAUAAUUUCAACUCUCUUUUUAGUUCUUCAGGUUGUGAUGGUGCACCUAUUUUUGAUUGUGUUCCUCAAGUAGUUUCAGAGGAACAAAAUCUAGCUCUCACAGCAAACUUCUCUCGGGAGGAGAUUAAACAGGCUAUUAAUUCCAUGCAUCCAGACAAAUCGCCAGGCCCAGAUGGCAUGAAUCCGGCCUUUCAUCAGUGCUUUUGGAAUAUUGUAGGUAAUGAUAUGUCUACUGCCUGUUUAUCUUAUUUGAAUAAUGGUUUGCCUCCUUCUGGUUUGAAUGAUACUCACAUAGUGUUGAUUCCUAAGAAGAAAUCUCCUCGUACUAUGGCUGAUUUUAGACCAAUUGCUCUUUAUAAUGUCCUCUAUAAAGUGGUUGCUAAGGUCUUAGCCAAUAGAUUGAAGGGUGUAUUAUUAGAUAUUAUUUCUCCUUUUCAGAAUGCGUUUAUACCUAGUCGGUUAAUAUCUGAUAAUAUCAUUGUAGCCUUUGAAGUAGUUCAUUUUCUGAAAAGGAAGAGAAGGGGUAAAGAUGGCACAACUGCUUUGAAAAUAGAUAUGAGUAAAGUUUAUGAUCGAAUUGAAUGGGACUAUUUGUGAGGCAUGAUGUUGAAACUAUGUUUCAAUGUUAAAUGGGUUGAGCUUAUAAUGAUGUGCAUAACUUCUGUUAGAUAUUUUCUUUUACAGCAGGGUAGAGAAAUUGGCCCAAUUAUUCCAGCUAGAGGAUUGAGGCAGGGAGAUCCUUUAUCUCCAUAUUUGUUCAUCAUUUGCUCUGAAGGUUUAUCUGCUUUGUUGAGGCAUAGGGAGGGGCAAGGUCUUAUUCAUGGUUGUAGAGUUGCACGAGGGGUGCCACCUAUUUCUCACUUGUUUUUUGUAGAUGACAGUUUCCUUUUUUUUCAGAGCUACUUCUAAAGAACGUGAUUCCAUUCUGGAGUGUUUACAGUUGUAUGAAAGGGCAUUAGGUCAAGUUAUAAAUUUCCAUAAGUCCUCCAUAGCGUUUAGUGCCAACACUAAUGAUGAUGUUCAGUUGUUAAUUAGACAAAGGCUUCAAAUUGGAGAGAUUAUAGAUUUAGGGUGUUAUCUAGGGUUGCCUACUGCUGUGGGAAGGAAUAAGAAGGAGGUUUUUGCUUUUAUCAGAGACAAAGUAUGGCAGCGUAUUCAAAGGUGGAAGUGAAAUUUUUUAUCUCGUGCAGGAAAAGAGAUCCUAUUAAAGUCAGUAGUUCAGGCUAUUCCUUCUUACACUAUGAGUGUGUUUCUAUUUCCUCUAGAUCUGUGUGCUGAGCUUGAACGUAUGAUGAACUCUUUUUGGUGGGGUUCAGGUGGUAGAGGUGAGGGUGGAAUAAGAUGGAAGAGAUGGGAACUUUUGUGUAAGCAUAAGUUUAUCGGUGGUUUGAGUUUUCAUAGAGUUCAUGAAUUCAAUUUGGCUUUACUGGGAAAGCAAGUUUGGUAACUAAUAAGUAAUCCCAAUUCUUUAGUAGCUAGAGUGUAUAAAGCUCGUUAUUUCCCACAGUCUGAUAUUUUGCAAGCAAAGCUGGGGUAUAAUCCUAGUUAUGUGUGGCGUAGUGCAUGGGCUGCUAGUCCAAUGUUGAGAUCUGGUUUAAGAUGGAAGGUUGGAUCGAGAGCGUCUAUUUCCUUAUGGCAAGACCCUUGGCUUCCUUCAGGUAUGAACCCUUAUGUAAGUUUAGUGGUUCCUGUGAUAUCUCAUUAUCAGCUGGUUUGUCAGUUGAUGACAGAUGAUGGUUUAUCAUGGAAUAUGGAAAUUAUAAGGAACCUUUUUAAUGGCAGAGAUGUUGCUCUAAUUGGUCAAAUUCCAUUAUUGCAAACAGGAAGGGAUGAUGUCAGAUUUUGGAUUCACGACCUUAAGGGAAUUUUCACUGUAAAGAGUGCAUAUAAAUGGCUGAUGGGAGAUUUUAAUGCAAGUUCUCCUGGGGAGUCAGUUGGUUUCUGGAAGAAGAUAUGACAAUUGAAAAUUCCUCCAAAGAUCAAAAAUUUUAUUUGGAGGUUGGGUUCUGAUUGUGUUCCUUUAAAGAGUUGAUUGCUGCAGAGACAUGUAGAUGUGGACACAUUGUGUUCUAUGUGUGGAUUGGAGAUUGAAGAUUGGAGGCAUGUAUUUGUUAUAGGCUGUUUGGCUCGUGAUUGUUGGCGUACAGUAUUACCACAAGUUCUGUAGUUGUCCAGUUUGUCUAUUCUCUCUCAAAAUAGAGCUAUAGUAUGGUUAAAGGAAAUAUUUAGAGCUCUAGGUGUGGAGGACCUGAUGGUGUUCUGUGUUACUCUUUGGGCUAUUUGGUUUGCUAGAAAUGAUAAGCUUUGGAAUAGGAGACCAGUUACGGCUUCUCAAAUUCUCUUGAAGGCGUCUUCUUUUUUUCAGCAGUAGAAAGAGGCUCAGUCUAAGUUUGGUUUGUGCCCUGAAGUUUCUGUAGCAAUUUCUCCCUCUGUUGUGCAAUGGAUGCGGCCUCCUGUUGGCAUGUUAAAAUGCAAUGUUGAUGCAGCUGUUUUUGGUGGGGUGGGGAAGAUUGGGACAAGCUGGGUAGUUCGUGAUCAUGAAGGGAAAGUUUUAAAUGAACGCCAGGUCUCUCAUGAUGGUGUCCGGAUGCAACAGUUACAGAAGCAAUAUCUUUACGGGAGGCCCUCAGUUGGGUGAAAAAGAGAUCCUUGCAAAAUAUUAUUUUUGAAAGUGAUUCCCUUGUCCUUGUCCAGCCAGUAAAUGAAUUCUACAUGGAUCUAUCUUAUUUUGGUGGUUUAGUCUUAGAUUGCCAAGUCUUGCUUAAAGAAAUUGCUAAUUGUUCUGUUAUUUAUAUUAGAAGGUCAGCAAAUUGCGUGACACACCUACUAGCCACUUCUGCAAUUUCUUGGACUGAUCUGCAGGAUUGGGGUUCCAAUCCGCCUGCUCUUGUUUUGUCAACUGUAUUUUCUGAUUUGCAGUAAUAAUAUUUCUUAUUAUUCAAAAAAAAAAAAAAG